GAUGAACGCUGGCGGCGUGCUUAACACAUGCAAGUCGAACGAAGCACUUUAUUUGAUUUCUUCGGAAUGAAGAUUUUGUGACUGAGUGGCGGACGGGUGAGUAACGCGUGGGUAACCUGCCUCAUACAGGGGGAUAACAGUUGGAAACGACUGCUAAUACCGCAUAAGCGCACAGGGUCGCAUGACCUGGUGUGAAAAACUCCGGUGGUAUGAGAUGGACCCGCGUCUGAUUAGCCAGUUGGUGGGGUAACGGCCUACCAAAGCAACGAUCAGUAGCCGACCUGAGAGGGUGACCGGCCACAUUGGGACUGAGACACGGCCCAAACUCCUACGGGAGGCAGCAGUGGGGAAUAUUGCACAAUGGGGGAAACCCUGAUGCAGCGACGCCGCGUGAGCGAAGAAGUAUUUCGGUAUGUAAAGCUCUAUCAGCAGGGAAGAAGAAAUGACGGUACCUGACUAAGAAGCACCGGCUAAAUACGUGCCAGCAGCCGCGGUAAUACGUAUGGUGCAAGCGUUAUCCGGAUUUACUGGGUGUAAAGGGAGCGCAGGCGGUACGGCAAGUCUGAUGUGAAAGCCCGGGGCUCAACCCCGGUACUGCAUUGGAAACUGUCGGACUAGAGUGUCGGAGGGGUAAGUGGAAUUCCUAGUGUAGCGGUGAAAUGCGUAAAUAUUAGGAGGAACACCAGUGGCGAAGGCGGCUUACUGGACGAUUACUGACGCUGAGGCUCGAAAAGCGUGGGGAGCAAACAGGAUUAGAUACCCUGGCUAUCCCCGCCCGUAAACCUAUGAAUACUAAGGUGUCGGGGAGCACUGCUCCUUCGGGCCCCCACCCAAACCAAUAAUUAUUCCACCCGGGGAGUACGUUCGCAAGAAAUGAAACUCAAAGGAAUUGCGGGGGACCGGCCCAAGCGGUGGAGCAUGUGGUUUAUUUCGAAGCAACGCGAAGAACCUUACCAAGUCUUGACAUCCCGAUGACAGAACAUGUAAUGUGUUUUCUUUUUGGAGCAUCGGUGACAGGUGGUGCAUGGUUGUCGUCAGCUCGUGUCGUGAGAUGUUGGGUUAAGUCCCGCAACGAGCGCAACCCCUAUUCUUAGUAGCCAGCGGGUAAGCCGGGCACUCUAGGGAGACUGCCAGGGAUAACCUGGAGGAAGGUGGGGAUGACGUCAAAUCAUCAUGCCCCUUAUGACUUGGGCUACACACGUGCUACAAUGGCGUAAACAAAGGGAAGCGAGCCUGCGAGGGGGAGCAAAUCUCAAAAAUAACGUCUCAGUUCGGACUGCAGUCUGCAACUCGACUGCACGAAGCUGGAAUCGCUAGUAAUCGCGAAUCAGAAUGUCGCGGUGAAUACGUUCCCGGGUCUUGUACACACCGCCCGUCACACCAUGGGAGUUGGUAAUGCCCGAAGUCAAAGACCCAACCGCAAGGAGGGAGCUGCCGA
RNAcentral lists this ribosomal RNA (1438 nucleotides) under uncultured organism. RNAcentral describes it as "16S ribosomal RNA". It matches the Rfam family "Bacterial small subunit ribosomal RNA". The record is from RNAcentral.